CAGCCGUAAACUAUGCGCGUUAGGUGUACUGGUGACCACGAGUCACCGGGGUGCCGAAGGGAAACCGUGAAACGUGCCGCCUGGGAAGUACGGUCGCAAGGCUGAAACUUAAAGGAAUUGGCGGGGGAGCACCGCAACGGGAGGAGCGUGCGGUUUAAUUGGAUUCAACACCGUAAAACUCACCAGGGAAGACUGUUACAUGAAGGCCGAGAUGAAGACUCUGCUAGAUUUCAGAGAGGAGGUGCAUGGCGUCAGUGCU
RNAcentral lists this ribosomal RNA (259 nucleotides) under uncultured archaeon. RNAcentral describes it as "partial 16S ribosomal RNA". It matches the Rfam family "Archaeal small subunit ribosomal RNA", at positions 748 to 1011 of the family's 1478-position model. The record is from RNAcentral.